This 30-nucleotide small RNA is filed under the name Bombyx mori (domestic silkworm). RNAcentral's name for it is "ovarian small RNA-11502". Lineage: Eukaryota; Metazoa; Arthropoda; Insecta; Lepidoptera; Bombycidae. The record is from RNAcentral.
ACGCCGUGAUACUCUAGCGCCCCUGCGAUC